UACGUGAGGGGCGAACGUUGUUCGGUGUCACUGGGCUUAAAGGGUGCGUAGGUGGUUGCGUAAGUAAGGUGUGAAAUCCCUCGGCUUACCCGGGGAAUUGCAUUUUAUACUGCGUGGCUUGAGGACUAAAGGGGAAAAGGGAACUCCAGGUGUAGCGGUGAAAUGCGUAGAUAUCUGGAGGAACACCAGUGGCGAAAGCGCAUGACUGGGCCACAACUGACGCUGAGGAACGAAAGCCAGGGGAGCGAAAGGG
Molecule: ribosomal RNA, 253 nt
Filed under: uncultured bacterium
Lineage: Bacteria
Description: partial 16S ribosomal RNA
Rfam family: Bacterial small subunit ribosomal RNA
Source: RNAcentral